GACGAACGCUGGCGGCGUGCUUAACACAUGCAAGUCGAGCGAUGAAGCACCUUCGGGUGUGAAUUAGCGGCGAACGGGUGAGGAACACGUGAGAAAUCUGCCUUCAACACUGGGAUAACUCCGGGAAACCGGGGCUAAUACCGGAUAUGAAACCUGCGGGCAUCCGCGGGUUUGGAAAGUUUUUCGGUUGAAGAUGAUCUCGCGGCCUAUCAGCUUGUUGGUGAGGUAAUGGCUCACCAAGGCGACGACGGGUAGCCGGCCUGAGAGGGCGACCGGCCACACUGGGACUGAGACACGGCCCAGACUCCUACGGGAGGCAGCAGUGGGGAAUAUUGGGCAAUGGAGGAAACUCUGACCCAGCGACGCCGCGUGCGGGAUGAAGGCCUUCGGGUUGUAAACCGCUUUCAGCAGGGAAGAAGCGAAAGUGACGGUACCUGCAGAAGAAGCACCGGCUAACUAUGUG
Molecule: ribosomal RNA, 463 nt
Filed under: uncultured bacterium
Lineage: Bacteria
Description: bacterial SSU rRNA
Rfam family: Bacterial small subunit ribosomal RNA
Source: RNAcentral